UGGUAGAAAUUGGAGAAUUUGGGAUUAAGUUUUGAUUAUUGAUUUUUGGAUGAAAAAGUGUAGAAACCAUAGAAUUGAAUGGUGAAAAGAGUGGUUAAUCAGGUAGGUUAGUGAUGGGUUAACGUUUUAAUGAUAGGGUAAUCAUAUGGUGAUGUUUAUGGAUGAUUUUGGAGAGUUUAGGGUUAAGAGAUGGAGCAAAGGAGGUUCCCAUGGUAGAAAAUCGCAGAAAAUCUGUGAUUUCAGCAUGUCUGAUACUGUCGAAAUCAUGAGGCGAUUCUAGAAAUCAUGAGGCGAUUUUGACAGAAAAUGUGUAAUUUUAGUAUGUCUGAUGCUGUCGAAAUCAUGAGGCGAUUCUAGAAAUCAUGAGGCGAUUUUGACAGAAAAUGUGUAAUUUUAGUAUGUCUGAUGCUGUCGGAAACAUGAGGCGAUUUUAGAAAUCAUGAGGCGAUUUUGACAGAAAAUGUGUAAUUUUAGUAUAACUGAUGUUGUCUUACCAUAAACCCUAAAAUGCAAUUUUCUUCACUCCAAAUGCUUCCAAACUUCUUCCUAAGUGUAGGGACUUUAUCCUAAACGUAUAGAGAUGUUUUUAGGAAAGAUAUAACGUUGUUUAAGGGUCUAAUGAGUUCAUGAGUAGUCCUUGGGUUAGGGAUGGAAGUUGUCUAUAAGGGUAUAGCCUCUCAAUGUAUCUAAGCUAAUCUAAUUGAUGUUGUUGAUUACUAAUAUCUUUGAGUUGUUGAAUUCUGUUUGAACGUUUUGAAUGGAGCUUGAUGUAUGAACAUGAUUAAGAUAAAUUGUGCAUUUUUCUGGGUAGUUGAAUCUCUGUUGAUUGUUGAUUGAUGUUGAGGAAUGAAAUGUAUGUUUUAACUAUUAAUCAUACAUGUUGUUUAAGUGGAGUCACAUGGAGUUUGCAUUGCAUGGUCAGCUGUAUGUAGAUAUACACAAGUAGGUCCAUGGCAUAUGCAUAAAACAGCGGUGAGGACUCAUGUCCUGGAGUACUAGUUGCUCAACAGCGGUGAGGGGUUCGGUCCUGAUGAAUGCUUUAACCAUUCAAAAGCGGUGAGGGCUUCGGUCCUGUUUGGUACCACAUGCAUAUUUGCAUAUUUGCGGAGUCUAAGGUGUUGUCUUAGCAGUGUUGUCAUGUCCAUUGCAUGAGUCUUAAUUGUUGGUUGUAGAUGCCACUAGAUGUUGUUGAUGUCGUUGAUGAAUAUAUGUAAAUAUUUAUAUACAUAUGGUGAUGUGUGGAUAUUGAUGAUUGUUGUUGUUGCUUUGUGAAUUAUUAUGUUAUAUUUGCAAGAUGAUGUAUUUGAUGUUAGGGUGUUAGAUUCAAUUGAAGAUUUUGAUAUCUAUAUUUAUUGUUGUGAAUCUCACCCCUUCUGCUUGAAAAUGUUGCCCUUCCUAUGGGUAACUUGCAGGUGAUCCUGAGUAGUCGGUGGUGGCUCAAUGUCGUGUCUAGGGCUCUGAUACGUGGGAUGGGAAUUACUAUUUAUAUUAUUGUUGUUUUUCCUUCCUAUGUAUCAAUUUUUGGAACUUGAUGAUGUGGCCCUUUGAUGAUUGAUAUUGUUGUUAGGCUUAUGCCAAGAUAUUAUGUUGGAGGUUUUUAACCGUUGUUGUGGUUAUUUGAAAUGCAAACUUUCCGCUGCAUAAUUUUUGAGGUUAUGAAUGAUGUCAAUUUAAAUAGUUUUAUUUUCUAUUUAAGGAAUUUUGAAUUUGCAAUGUAGCAUGCCCGUUUGGUGCUCAACUCUGAUGAAUAAUUGUUAUUUAAUUACUUUUGGGUAACGGGGUGUUACAAUUUGGUAUCAGAGCAGGUUGGUCCGUCCGGCCAAGUAGUAGAGUCGUGUUGAGCCACCUAGGUUAGAGUGUCAACUUUUAUGUUGCUUUUUGUUGUUGUUCUAAGUUGUUGUUUCUCAUGUAGAAUUUCGAGAUGACUGGAAGUAGUGAUGCUGCUCUUGUUGCUGCGCUUGAGGCUGUAGCUCAAGCUGUUCAACAGCAACCAAAAGCUGAAGCUGGUAUUGAUGGAACCAGAAUGUUGGAGACCUUCUUGAGGAAUCAUCCACCAACCUUCAAAGGUAGAUAUGAUCCUGAUGGUGCUCAGAAAUGGCUGAAGGAAGUUGAAAGGAUUUUCAGGGUCAUGCAGUGUUCUGAGACACAGAAGGUGCGGUUUGGGACGCACAUGUUAGCGGAAGAGGCUGACGACUGGUGGGUGAGUUUGUUGCCUGUGCUGGAACAGGGUGAUACUGUGGUGACUUGGGCUAUGUUCAGGAAGGAGUUUAUGAGUAGGUACUUUCCGGAGGAUGUCAGAGGUAAGAAAGAAAUUGAGUUUCUGGAGCUGAAACAGGGUGAUAUGUCCGUUACGGAGUAUGCUGCUAGGUUUGUGGAACUUGCUAAGUUCUACCCUCACUAUAGUGUGGAGACAGCUGAGUUCUCCAAGUGUAUCAAAUUUGAGAAUGGGUUGAGAGCUGACAUCAAAAGAGCUAUUGGGUAUCAGCAGAUCAGAGUCUUCUCUGAGUUGGUAAACAGAUGUAGAAUUUAUGAAGAAGACACCAAAGCUCAUUACAAGAUAAUGAGUGAGAGGAGGGGUAAGGGACAGCAGAAUCGUCCUAAGCCUUAUAGUGCUCCUGCUGACAAAGGAAAGUAGAAGAUGAAUGAUGAUAGGAGACCCAAGAGGAGAGAUGCUCCUUCUGAGAUUGUUUGUUAUAAGUGUGGUGAGAAAGGCCACAAGAGCAAUGUUUGUGGUAGAGAUGAUAGAAAAUGCUUCAGGUGUGGUCAGAAGGGUCACAGUCUAGCUUAAUGCAAGCGUGGGGAUAUUGUCUGCUACAAUUGCAAUGGAGAGGGUCAUAUCAGUUCACAGUGUCCUGAGCCGAAAAAGGCUAGAACUGGUGGGAAGGUGUUUGCUUUGACUGGUACGCANACUACCAAUGAGGACCGACUUAUCAGAGGUACUUGUUUCUUUAAUAGUACUCCUUUAAUUGCUAUUAUUGAUACUGGUGCUACUCAUUGUUUUAUUGCUAUUGAAUGUGCCUAUAAGUUAGGUUUGGAUGUAUCUGGUAUGAAAGGGGAAAUGGUUGUUGAAACUCCAGCUAAGGGUUCAGUAACCACUUCUCUUGUUUGUCUGGGGUGUCCUAAAUCUAUGUUUGGUAGAGAUUUUGUGGUUGAUUUAGUUUGUCUGCCGUUGUCGGGUAUGGAUGUUAUUUUUGGAAUGAAUUGGUUAGAGUAUAACCGAGUUCAUAUCAACUGCUAUAGUAAGACGGUGCAUUUUUCUUCUGCUGAGGAAGAAGGUGAGGUUGAGCUUCUGUCUACAAAACAGAUGAAACAGUUUGAACGUGAUGGAAUUCUGAUGUAUUCUCUAAUGGCAUAAUUGUCGUUAGAAAAUCAAGCUGUGAUGGACAGGUUACCUGUAGUGAAUGAAUUUCCAGAAGUAUUUCCUGAUGAGAUUUCUGAUGUGCCACCAGAGAGGGAGGUUGAAUUUUCAAUUGAGCUUGUUCCAGGAACGAAGCCGGUGUCGAUGGCACCAUACCGUAUGUCAGCUUCUGAGUUAGCUGAAUUAAAGAAGCAGUUGGAGGACCUGUUAGAUAAGAAAUUUGUAAGACCCAGUGUUUCACCUUGGGGAGCACCGGUGUUGUUGGUUAAGAAGAAGGAUGGUAGUAUGAGACUGUGCAUAGAUUACCGUCAGUUGAACAAGGUUACGAUAAAGAACAGGUAUCCGCUUCCUAGAAUUGACGACUUGAUGGAUCAAUUGGUUGGUGCUAAGAUCUUUAGCAAGAUUGACUUGAGGUCUGGUUAUCAUCAGAUAAAGGUGAAGGAUGAGGAUAUGCAGAAGACGGCCUUUAGGACACGUUAUGGUCAUUACGAGUACAAAGUGAUGCCUUUCGGUGUUACUAACGCGCCUGGUGUGUUUAUGGAGUACAUGAACCGAAUCUUCCAUGCUUUUCUGGAUAAGUUUGUUGUGGUGUUUAUUGAUGAUAUCUUAAUUUAUUCCAAGAAUGAAGAGGAGCAUGCAGAACACCUGAGAAUUGUAUUGCAAGUGUUGAAGGAAAAGAGGUUGUAUACAAGGUUUUAAAAUGUGAGUUCUGGUUAAGUGAAGUAAGCUUUCUGGGUCACAUUAUUUCUGGUAGUGGUAUUGCAGUGGAUCCUUCAAAGGUUGAUGUGGUAUCACAAUGGGAGACUCCGAAGUCGGUAACUGAGAUCAGAAGUUUUCUGGGUUUGGCUGGUUAUUACCGCAGGUUCAUAGAAGGGUUUUCGAAAUUGGCUCUUCCGUUGACACAGUUGACCUGUAAGGGUAAAUCUUUUGUGUGGGAUGCUCAGUGUGAGAGUAGUUUCAAUGAAUUGAAGCGAAGAUUGACAACUGCUCCUGUUUUGAUUUUGCCUAGACCAGAAGAACCGUUUGUUGUGUACUGUGAUGCAUCUAAGCUGGGCUUAGGUGGUGUUCUGAUGCAAGAUGGUAAGGUGGUAGCAUAUGCUUCUAGGCAAUUGCGUGUUCAUGAGAAAAAUUAUCCUACACAUGAUCUAGAAUUGGCUGCAGUGGUUUUUGUUUUGAAAAUUUGGAGGCAUUCUUUGUACGGUUCCAGAUUUGAGGUGUUCAGUGAUCAUAAAAGUUUGAAGUAUUUAUUUGACCAGAAGGAACUGAACAUGAGGUAGAGGAGGUGGUUAGAGUUACUGAAGGAUUAUGAUUUUGGCUUGAAUUACCAUCCUGGUAAGGCCAAUGUUGUUGCUGAUGCUUUGAGCAGGAAAACUUUGCACAUGUCUGCUUUGAUGGUGAAAGAAUUUGAAUUGUUAGAACAGUUCAGAGACAUGAGUCUUGUCUGUGAAUUGUCAUCUCAGAGUAUACAGUUGGGGAUGUUGAAGAUUGAUAGUGAUUUCUUGAACAGUAUCUGAGAAGCUCAGAAAGUGGAUUUAAAGUUUGUUGAUUUGAUGACUUCAGGUAAUGACACCGAGGAUAGUGAUUUUAAGGUUGAUGAUCAGGGUGUGCUGAGGUUCAGAGGAAGGGUUUGUAUUCCUGACAAUGAUGAUUUGAAGAAGUUGAUUCUUGAGGAGAGUCACAAUAGUAGGUUGAGUAUUCACCCGGGGGCUACAAAAAUGUACCAUGAUUUGAAGAAACUGUUUUGGUGGUCCGGUUUGAAAAGAGAUGUUGCUCAGUUUGUUUAUGCCUGUUUGAUUUGUCAGAAGUCCAAGGUUGAGCAUCAGAAGCCUGCAGGGUUGUUGACACCGUUGGAUGUACCGGAGUGGAAGUGGGACAGUAUCUCUAUGGAUUUUGUGACGAGUUUACCGAACACUCCGAGAGGGCAUGACGCUAUUUGGGUUGUUGUCGACCGAUUGACGAAGUCGGCACACUUCAUUCCUAUUAAUAUCAGUUAUCCGGUAGCGCAGUUAGCAGAGAUAUACAUUCACAGUGUGGUGAAGCUUCAUGGUGUUCCGUCGAGUAUUGUGUCGGAUAGAGAUCUGAGGUUCACUUCUAGGUUCUUGAAGAGUUUACAGGACGCCUUGGGUUCGAAGUUGAGGUUGAGUUCGGCUUAUCAUCCUCAAACAGAUGGUCAGUCGGAGAGGACAAUUCAAUCAUUGGAAGAUUUGUUGAGGGUGUGUGUGCUUGAACAAGGUGGAGCUUGGGAUAGUCACUUGCCUUUGGUUGAGUUCACUUAUAACAACAGCUAUCACUCGAGUAUUGGUAUGGCACCGUUCGAAGCCUUGUAUGGUCGGAGGUGUAGGACUCCUUUAUGCUGGUUUGAGUCGGGUGAGAGUGUUGUGUUGGGACCGGACUUGGUUCAUGAGACUACUGAGAAAGUCAGGUUGAUAAGAGAAAAGAUGAAAGCUUCGCAGAGUCGACAGAAGAGUUACCAUGACAAGCGAAGAAAGGAUCUUGAGUUUCAGGAGGGUGAUCAUGUUUUUCUGAGAGUCACUCCUUUGACGGGUGUUGGACGUGCUUUGAAGUCGAGAAAGUUGACUCCUAAGUUCAUUGGUCCGUAUCAGAUUUCAGAGAGAGUUGGUACAGUGGCAUAUAGAGUUGGUUUGCCACCUCAUCUUUCGAACUUGCACGAUGUGUUUCAUGUUUCUCAGCUUCGGAAGUAUGUUGCGGAUCCUUCACAUGUGAUACCGAGGGAUGAUGAUGUGCAGGUUAGGGACAACCUGACAGUUGAGACUAUGCCGUUGAGGAUUGAUGAUAGAAAGGUGAAGUCCUUGAGGGGUAAAGAGAUACCUCUUGUGAGAGUCGUUUGGGGUGGAGCGACUGGUGAAAGUUUGACUUGGGAGCUGGAGAGUAAGAUGCGGGAGUCGUACCCGGAGUUGUUUGCUUGAGGUAAGAUUUCGAGGACGAAAUUCUGUAAUUUGGGGAGAGUUGUAACGCCCUAGUCGUUAUAUUUAAUUAUUUUGAUUUAAUUAGAGUCUUAUAUGUGAUUUAUGAUUUUUGGUGAUUUAUGUGAUGUGUUUAUUUUAUUACAUAGUUUAUUUUAAUAAUAAUUAGAAUAAGUGUGAAAUAAUAAUUAUUUUGGUGUUUGGGGAGUUAAUAGAAUUUAUGGGGAGUUUAGUGUAAUAAAGGGGAGUUGAGAAGGCAGUUAAUAAAGAAAGAAAAGAGUCAGAAAACACUUUACGUGAAACUGACAGUUUUGGGAGAAAGGGAGAGAAGAGCAAGUUAGGCCAAGGAACCACUUUUGCUGUGCAUUUGUCUGCAAUUUCUAAGGUAAGGGUGAGGUUUACUUUCAAUAGUAUAGAUUGUAAUUCUGAUUUUGGAUUUAACAUGUUUCUGGUAGAAAUUGGAGAAUUUGGGAUUAAGUUUUGAUUAUUGAUUUUUGGAUGAAAAAGUGUAGAAACCAUAGAAUUGAAUGGUGAAAAGAGUGGUUAAUCAGGUAGGUUAGUGAUGGGUUAACGUUUUAAUGAUAGGGUAAUCAUAUGGUGAUGUUUAUGGAUGAUUUUGGAGAGUUUAGGGUUAAGAGAUGGAGCAAAGGAGGUUCCCAUGGUAGAAAAUCGCAGAAAAUCUGUGAUUUCAGCAUGUCUGAUACUGUCGAAAUCAUGAG
This 7001-nucleotide long non-coding RNA is filed under the name Medicago truncatula (barrel medic). RNAcentral describes it as "long non-coding RNA (MTRU_LNC001612)". The stretch from base 1708 to 1793 matches the Rfam family "MIR2617 microRNA precursor family". The record is from RNAcentral. Lineage: Eukaryota; Viridiplantae; Streptophyta; Magnoliopsida; Fabales; Fabaceae.